AGAACUGCCGCGGUUGCCCUGCAUCCACCUCGCUCGCCGACUCCGCCCAAGCGUUCAUCCGAGAGGAUCUCACCGGAUUAGUGCAGGAGGGCGUGUGGCGAUGGAGUGCACUCGCCGAGAAGUUUGCCAUGUGUAAUGUGGCUAGAGCCAGGAGGCUAGGAUCGUCCCAGCAUUGGUAGUGCAGAUGCCAACAAGGUGAGGUCCUGCCCUCAAGAUCCGCCUAUUCUUUUGGAACAGUCAUUGCUAUACAUUUGACCGCUCUCAUUGAACUUAAUCUAUCAGACAAUUAACAACGCUCCCAGUAUAAUUAUAACUUGUUUUCCUCACUGAGGUAAUGUCUGGUUUAACAAAUUUCGGUAUAUAGUGCCAAUCAACUUUGAGAUCAUGGGUAAUUGAGUGGUUUGGCUAAUUUAGAAAGCUCAUGUCUUGAUCUCAGAUGAUAUAAAGGGGCCCUAGCCGGUAGCACCAACUGGCGUGACUGAUCCGAAUUUUAUUGACAUAUAAAUGUUAAACUAAUUCCUAUGCAAAAUAUUCUCAAGUUUAGAUCUUUUAAGAUUUGAAUGGUAACCACUUCAUUGAAUGUUGCUUUCCGUGGAGGAUAUGGGAUUCCAGUAUAGAUGAUGAAUGGAGUCUUCAGUAGAAUGCUAUAAAAUACUUUCAUGACUGGCCUGAAUCCUGAUGCUCUCACAUGUCUUUCAAAUUUCAGCCCAAGCGACCCAGAGGAGGCUAGACUUGCUGAGUUGUACAGAUCAGAUCACCUUUACAUGCCUUCAACAUAAAUAAUUAAUGUUGGAUGCAGAUAUUCAGUUAUAUUCGCACAACAUCUAUCACACGCUUAAUGCCAUCAGUGAGCCAGCUUCCAAUUGUGAAAUCUGGGACUCUAGGGGUAAUUUUCUCCUGGCAUUUUCCAAUUCUUUUUAAAUGCCACAUUAACUUGCAUUUUGAAUGAGUGUUUUGGUAUUUUGUCUUAAAUAGCGAAUAGCAAUGACCAGUGACGAUGGGCCCAGAGGGUCACUCAGAGUCCAAUUUGAUGGCGGUAAGCUCUAGCUGCAUAUUUAAUUAAGUUAAGACUUUUCCCUCCAAAGGGUUCAGAACAGA
RNAcentral lists this long non-coding RNA (1098 nucleotides) under Panicum hallii. RNAcentral's name for it is "long non-coding RNA (PHAL_LNC000488)". Lineage: Eukaryota; Viridiplantae; Streptophyta; Magnoliopsida; Poales; Poaceae. The record is from RNAcentral.